AAUUGAAACCUACGGCUAAUGCAUGAAAAGAUUAAUGGACAUGGCCAAAACAAGUGAAUGAGUGAAGUUAAUUGAUUGUGAUUAUGAAAGUGAAGUCAAAGUAUGAUUAAGAUUAAUUCAAAAGAAGUAUUAUGAAAUGGAGUUUGUGAAAAGAGUCAAGGACUUGAGUCCAGGUUUUUAGUUUGAAAAAAAUGAAGAUGUUUGCACAAUGUCUAAGUCAAGUUUAAGAUCAAAGUGUGAAAAGGUUCUAGGACACAAUGAGGAUGAAUGAGUGAGGAUGGAAAGUAA
This 288-nucleotide long non-coding RNA is filed under the name Lathyrus oleraceus (garden pea). RNAcentral describes it as "Pisum sativum (pea) long non-coding RNA (PSAT_LNC026078)". The record is from RNAcentral. Lineage: Eukaryota; Viridiplantae; Streptophyta; Magnoliopsida; Fabales; Fabaceae.